This 586-nucleotide ribosomal RNA is filed under the name uncultured bacterium. RNAcentral describes it as "bacterial SSU rRNA". It matches the Rfam family "Bacterial small subunit ribosomal RNA", at positions 338 to 946 of the family's 1533-position model. The record is from RNAcentral.
CCUACGGGAGGCAGCAGUGGGGAAUCUUGCGCAAUGGGCGAAAGCCUGACGCAGCCAUGCCGCGUGAAUGAUGAAGGUCUUAGGAUUGUAAAAUUCUUUCACCGGGGACGAUAAUGACGGUACCCGGAGAAGAAGCCCCGGCUAACUUCGUGCCAGCAGCCGCGGUAAUACGAAGGGGGCUAGCGUUGCUCGGAAUUACUGGGCGUAAAGGGAGCGUAGGCGGACAUUUAAGUCAGGGGUGAAAUCCCAGAGCUCAACUCUGGAACUGCCUUUGAUACUGGAUGUCUUGAGUGUGAGAGAGGUAUGUGGAACUCCGAGUGUAGAGGUGAAAUUCGUAGAUAUUCGGAAGAACACCAGUGGCGAAGGCGACAUACUGGCUCAUUACUGACGCUGAGGCUCGAAAGCGUGGGGAGCAAACAGGAUUAGAUACCCUGGUAGUCCACGCCGUAAACGAUGAUUGCUAGUUGUCGGGAUGUUUACAUCUCGGUGACGCAGCUAACGCAUUAAGCAAUCCGCCUGGGGAGUCGGUGCAGNUAAACUUAAAUGAAUUGACGGNGNGAGAGNGCGAGACGACGACGAGGAGAGG